GUGGGUUCUGGGGGCAGUGCGACUGAGCCUGGGCAGAGGGGCGGGGCUGGAGCUGGCUCAUCCCACAGGGCCCAGUGACGCGUGGGCAGGGCAGCGACAGGGAGUGUGUGGCGACAGGAGUUAUGGCUGCAGCACAAGCCCCUGGCGUGCUCCGGAGGGCCAGAGAGCUGCCACCUGCCAAGAGGCACCCUAUGCCCAACGCCUAUGUGAGUGCUGCCUGGGACGGAGCACAAAAGACAAACUGACUGUAGGUCCAAAGAGAGCAAGAGUGAUCUUUCCAGUGAACCAGAGCUGCUGGCAUUUGAUGGGGCCUGCUCCAGUGGCAGAGCGAUUUCCCAACUGGCUGCCUGCCUGGACUGACACACACAAAACCUGCACAGUACUGUCUCCUCUCCAGCUACACAUCUUCAAGCGAGCACCCAGCAACUUCCAUAUGCAGAGAGAAGAAUGAGAUGGACUUUUCAGCUUCGAAAAGAGAUGACUAAGGAGAGACAUGAUAGAGGUCAAUAAAAUCAUGACUGGUCUGGAGAAACUAAAUAAAAAAGUACAGAAGUUCACAUAACUGCAACAAAAAUUAACUAGACUGUUUUUUGCAUCUCAAAGUUUGGUUUGCGUUUUUAACUGAAGUUCACAUUUCUCUUUUCUCUAAACCAGUUCAUCCAUUUUAAACUACAACACAGCAUCUGAAUUUAAUUUGAAUAUGUAACAAUCC
Molecule: non-coding RNA, 712 nt
Organism: Pelodiscus sinensis (Chinese soft-shelled turtle)
Lineage: Eukaryota; Metazoa; Chordata; Testudines; Trionychidae
Source: RefSeq, a predicted model, not a curated record